UAGCAAUCUUACUGGAAUGCAUGAAUCAGCGGAGGAAAGUGUAUUACAUCAUUACUUUAUACAUAUAAAAGCAUAUCCAUAAAACUUCCAUCGUUUAAAUAAUCUAAAUCCUAUUAAACCUGCCAGUGGUUUAUAGGUAGAACAGCCAUCAACAAGCAUGCUGUUCCAGCAGAAGAACCCUGAAGCACAAGAGGAAGAGUAUAAGAAACGGACCAACAAGAAUCACAAUUAAGGUUAAUAUGCCCAGGAGAGUUACUGCACUUCACUGCAUUGAUUUCCCUUUUUCUUUUUAGUAAUCGGUUUUACCACCCUGAUCUGCUCAGUAUUGACUGAUUCCAUCGAACAGAUUUAAUACAGUUCUUACAGCUUUAAAAAUGGUAGACAAAGAGGGGCAAAUAUCCUAUUAAAGAGAUGAGGAUGUGGCACAAUUCAGUUACCGGAAAGAAGGAGAAAAUCAGGGUUUAAAUUAAGUGGUCAGAAUCAAAAGAAAAGGGAUCAUUGUGGAGUAUUUCACAAACACAUGAGUGAUGAUUUCUGAUCAAUAGCUUUUAACAGCAAGGGGCCGAUCUGGAAAUUGAUUUGGAAUUUCAUAACGUAAUAACAUCUGAGGAGUAAAAAGAACUUGGAUCCACACUCUAGUUUUGGAACUGGUAGGCUUGAGAAUAUAAUUCAUCAGUUACUCUCAAACAUCUAGUGUGAAGGAAGCUGGCCGUUAUGCCUUCCUUCAGUCUUGCCCCAGCAAAUUUUGGAGACAUCAGAGGCAAAUCUUCAGACCAGUAAUAAAUUAAUUAGACGCCGUCCACAAAAGAACGGGUUGAAAAAGACAAUAAAUGUCUAGAGGAGUAGAAAAGAGUUUUUCACGCAGCAGAAAUCAAAAAAGGCAAAAUGUACAAAAGGAGAAGAAGAAAAGCAUAAUACAAAGAAAACAUGCAGUGCACCAUGGAGGGAGGCAGAGCAAUAGAUUCUUUAAAAUAAUAACACAAAGGAGACCAGAGAAAGAAUUCGGAACUUUAAAGGUUCAGAAGAAAAAGAAUUAAAACAAAGAGAAAGCUACAGAAGUUUCAGCGGGUAGGAAAGGGAACUUGAAAAGGCACCAAGUUUGACUGUUAGCCAAUUACAACAGUAAGCCCCCAUCUUUAACUUGCGAAGACUUUGAAGGCAUAAAGCUCAACAACUGUAAUCAUCAGUCAACAAGUUACGGUUGCAGAAUAACAAGGUAUGAUAUAAAUAAAUGAUGCCUCCGCAACAUAGGUCAGAAAGGAUGCAUCUGAAAAGGAUCAAUAAUUUUAAAUGGAGGCAAUUAAUUCGAUUUGUGUACACAGGGUGUGAUUUGAUGGCAUCUGUUCUUUGUGCUUUGCUGUUUCAAAGCAGUAGACAGAGCACACAGUAUGCCUCUUCUCACAUUAGGCCUUGUGUCCCAUGCUAGGCAUGUUUACUCUGAAGUAGACACCCCCCCACACACACAAAAACAACCUGCAAGAAAUCAGAGGGAAGUUAUCCCCUUCCUGUCCUUCUUCUGAUUAUACCCCCCACCCCCAUUUACAAAAACAAAAAUUGGAAAACACUCCCAUGAUUUAUUUAUUUUUUUACUUGCUUUCGGAGUGAGUGAAAUCUUCUUAAGACAAUCUACAGCAUUCUUAAAUCAUUCCUAGAGAGAUGCAAAGUUAAAAUCCAAAGGGCACUGCUAUCUUCAUGAGAAGAGAAAAAGAAUAAAAGGGUAAAUAGCUCAUACAUCACAUUUUGCACAAGCCCAACACGUCUGCGGAAGUGACACUUCCUCUGCUACUAACUCCCCCCACCUCCAUAGGAUUACUCUGUAAAGUGUAAAUGUUGCAUUUCAUAUUACAUGAGCAGCAAAUAAGUUUAUGUUUAAUAAGAAAGGAAGCAUAGUGUACAUUUCUAUUUCACACACACCCAAUCCCCAGCCACUGGCGGAGGAACAGGGGUGCGGGCAGCAUGCCACACCCCCGGGACAGGCACCAGCCACGCCUGCUCUCCGCCCCACCCCCACUGGAGCUUGAAGCUCCUCCACUGUCCCCAGCCCUGUCCCAGCCUUCUUCAGACACUUUACAUCUCUGCUCAGAAGUGAGUCCCACUGAGUUCAAUAGGCGUAACACUCAAGUAAUUGUACGUAGGACAGCAGCAUCAGUAUUCUAACUGAAACAAGUGAUCUACCACAUCUGAUCCCCCCCCCCAAAUUGCCAAAACAUAUAUUGUUUUAAAGUUAAAGCAAUAUAUGAAUUUUGCCCCCAAACGCUCAGCUUUACAUAUAGAUAUGUUUGUUCGUGUGCUUUUUCAUUCUGAAAAAAUCAUCCAGAUAACAAGGGGCAGAAUUAAAAAAUAGUGGUUUUGCUACGUGGUACUGGAAAUGCUGAGGGACACGGGUGGUGCUGUGGGUUAAACCACAGAGCCUAGGACUUGCCGAUCAGAAGGUUGGCGGUUCGAAUCCCCGCGACGAGGUGAGCUCCCGUUGUUCAGUCUCUGCUCCUGCCAACCUAGCAGUUCGAAAGCACGUCAAAGUGCAAGUAGAUAAAUAGGUACCGCUCCCGCAGGAAGGUAAACGGCAUUUCCGUGCACUGCUCUGGUUCGCCAGAAGCAGCUUAGUCAUGCUGGUCACUUGUACGCCAGCUCCCUCGGCCAAUAAAGCGAGAUGAGCGCCGCAACCCCAGAGUCAGCCAUGACUGGAUCUAAUGGUCAGGGGUCCCUUUACCUUUUACUGGAAAUGCUGCCACAUGGAAGACAUACAGUGGAAUCCAGUGUAGAUUUCUCCUUGUGCAGCAAAAGGUUCUCCUUCCUUCUAUUCCCCCCCUUUUUUGCCUCCUAAAAUCUGUUCUAGGGUUCCCCAAAAAACCCUGGAGCAGAUUGGGGGAGGGGCACAUGAUGCACACCGGGGAAUGAGAGGAGGGAACUCCCAUUGCACAAGAGGAAAUCCUUGCACUGAUUAGAUUUGGUAGUUUAAUACUAGCCAUACAAAUGUGCAUGAUUCAGUUACACAGCCCAUCUCUGUUGCAGUCCCAUCAGUGUCGGAGGAACUACCCUAUUGUGGGAAAGGCUUUGCCAUGAAACCCACCAGUGCCAAAACCCUGCAGACAUCUGGAAAGGCUUUCAAUGUUUUCAAGUUCUACCAUUGUGAAGCUUUUAUGAUUGGACUUUGCAGGGCUCCUUCUGUCUAUAUUGUUUCUGCUUUUCGUCUGAUUGUUUUACCUAUGUGAAUCCUAUAUAAGCUUAUAUAUAUAUCACAUUAACCUGUUGGGUAGAGUUGCUAAUAUAGAGCUUACCUUCAGGUUUUAUUUAGAUGGAGACUUUAUAUUUUAACCCAAAACAGCAACUCACCAGCAUCCCUUAAUCUGCCAAAUGAAGCAGUAGAUGUUCUCAUCAUCUAUGUAACUGCCUAAUCCCUUUACAAUCCUCUUAAGCUUCAGUGAUAUUGCUUGUUCUGAGAGACACAGCUUAAUUUGCUGCACAGUGUCACAUUUCAUUCAACACAUUUUACAUUAGAUGCAUCUUAGCUACAUCAAAUGGCUAUUGGUCCUUGUAAUACACCUUGUGGUGUAAAGAUGAAUUCCUCAUCACUAGAUACACUCCCAUUCAUAAAAGGUGUGUGUGUGGCGGGGUAUUGUUUCCACCAAUCACUCUCCAUCAAGAUUGUAUUUAGCAAACCCAGGGAAUCUGUACAGUUUCAAAGGGGUGGGAGAGGGAAGUACAGAACUUUUCUUCUUUUUUAAUAGCUUCUCCAAUAGGACCAAAUGUGUGUGCCAUUUGAGAAGCUUCAAGGGAACAGCUGGCGAUCAGCCACAGAUCCAGGUCAGUGGUGGCACUGGACAGACAGGAGAAGCAUCUCACAGUGUCUGCCAUGUUUGUUUUUAUUUUAAAAAAUCUCCAUCAGUCUUCCUUAACAUGCUCCUCAAGCUGAAGGUACCACUGGCAGUCUAUAACAUUGGAGUAGCCCAUGGACAUGCAGUGCCAAAGAAUCUGGAAGCUGAUGCAAUAAAGUCAUGGCCUGCUUAACCCAGUGAAAUGUUGGCUUUGUCCUUUCACUGCCCUCCUUUCUCUGCCCUCUAUUUGCUCUGUUCCCACACUGCCAGCACACUAUUAAAUGCAGGCCAGGCACUCUGUAGGUCAUUGACUGUCCUCAUAAUUAUCUCAUCUUUGCAUGGCUCUCCACAUUCCAAAUGAUAACAACAGCCAAACUGUCUACUGAAAAGCAUUCCCCCCCCCCCACUGGUAUCUAUGAUGGAUAAUAAACAAAACAAAAAAUUGUCACAUGGGGCAAUGGGAUAGAUCAGAUCUGUCCCUCUGACGCUGGAAACAGGGCUUGGAUUCUGAAGAAUGAGAUCUGAUGUCAGAAUCUCUCUCCCCAUCUCAGGCUCCUUGAUCACCCUGGCCUAACUAAUGUCAGAGCUAUGAUAUUGGUAGGGCCAUAUAGGAGAUGUGUCAGGAAGCUGUUGGUUCCUGACCUGUCUUGUUCCCUCACCAUACCCAGAAAGUGCAGAGAAAUUGAGUCACAUUCAAGAGGCAUCCCUGUCAAGAGUGUGCAUAAAUCACCCUCCUCUUCUAAAACAGUUUUCUUCCCCAGCCCCAAGCCUGGAAGCAUAUGGAGGAAACCAGAGUGUUUCCCCACUCUUAUUUCUGCGCCACUGAUACAGCCCAGUAUGGUGUAAGACAAUUCAGUUCAACUGCCUUCAGUUCUACCCGACACCGGAAAGCUGGAAUAUUAUGGGACACUGUGUGGGGGCCACAGAAAGGUGGUGAAUAUUGUGGAGAAUAUUAAAUUCUGCAAAGCAGGCUUCUUUUUCUAGGGGGAAUCAGAAUGGAAAAAUCUCAGAAAGAAUGUUUCCGAGAAAUUUUUGGCUCAGCCCCACUUUUAAGCAAUGCAAGCCAGAAGGAAACAUUCUGCUAUACAUAUUGUGUGAAUGGCAGUUAUAGCAUGAGCUUGUUUAGGAAGAAAACUUGUUUUUCUCCUUGAAGGGAAGAAUAAAUGCUCUCAAACAGAAGACAUGGACAGCACUGACAAUAAAUGCCAUAACGUUUGCCAUCUAUCUGGUUUUCCUAGAAAAACUGCAUAUGGUUUUGAUUUUCUGUCACCUUCUAAACUUUAGUCUCUGGAGAUUUUUCUGCCUCUCAAGAUAUAGCAGUUACUAACUGAUCAAUCUUUUGGACAGAUUUAUUUUUGAACUUCAGAACUAAGGAAGCUCAAAUUUUUGAUGUAAGUCAAAUUGGGCAUCUCUUUGUAAAACCCACUGGUCACUUCAAAAGUGAAUUUAAGGCAAUUUAUGGCAUGAACCAUACCUCCUACCGUGCUCAAACCCAUGUUGCUGGCUGAACUUAGGCUACUGAACUCACCGUUCCUAUCAAUUGAGUUAAUUUCUCUUUCUCUCUGCCAUUAUUAUUAUUCAUUUAAUUCCUAUCCUUUUUCCAGAUAGAAGACACUGCUUCUUUCUACAUCUUUCCAAUUCCCCCUGCAUUGGCUUCAAAAUGGACACCCUCAGAGUGAGGGCAGAAUUAGGAACCAAUGCUUCCAGUCUGAUUGGAUCUUCAGCAACAACAGGUUAUUACUGAUGAAUGGGACACCUCACAACUAAUGGCAUUCCCCUUCACCAGAAUGCCCUACCAACCUUUGUAGCUUGUGAAUGGGUUGCCAGACAUGAAGAUCCUUCCACCCAGUCUUUCUGUGUCUACCACCAAUGCUUGCCCCUAACCACUGAGUUCAUCAAAAGGAGGAACUAGGUUUGGAGUGGGGUGAAGGAGACCUUACCCAGGGCUCCCUCAUACCUGUAAGCAGUCCUUCGAAUUGGUAGUAUUUCUCCAGACUCUCAUAGAGGAAUCUUUCCUAGGCCUGCAUGGAGAUGUCAUGACUUGAGCCUGGGAUGUUUUGUGUGCAACUACCACUGAGCUACAGUCCUUCCCUACCAGUUCCUCUGCAAAAGGUACCAGUGAUCCAGACUGAACCAUGGGAGGUAUGAAGUAUCAUAAGGGGUUGUGGUUCCCACUAGUAAGUCUUUCCACCAGUCUCAGGAAUGGAUGAAUGCUAUCACACAGUAACUGAUCAAAGGUAUAUCAAGAGUUUGCUAUCAUUUAUCAGCCUGUACUAGCAUGUCACUACACUGGUGUGUGUGUGUGGAAUGAACCCUUUGCCUGAGAGCAUGCAAGAAGAUCCUUUCAGUGGCCUAGCAAUCUGUUGAAGGAACACACUGUGAAAGAAAGGAAGGAAGGAAGGAAGGAAGGAAGGAAGGAAGGAAGGAAGGAAGGAAGGAAUCCACCAUAUUAAAAUGGGGGUCCCUUAACAGUGCAGAGUGAUGGUUAUACUGGCUGUUUUUAAUUAAAAAAUUGAGGAAAACAAAUAAUAAAUGUUCCUGACAACCCAGUGCAGAAGUUUCAGAGUAUAUUUUAAAGUACGUUUACAUACGUACACAGUCCAAGUCAAUUGAAGUUCAUGAUAAGCAAACAUUUGGUUUUCUGUUGAGGCAUAAGCCACUGAAAUGAAUCACCAAGGUAACUAUUUAUGACAGGUGAAAACCUGAACUGAGGUCUAUUUAGAUGUAAGCUGUUGUGACUCAGUUUAAUAGCAUAGAUUUCUGAAGUGCUGAAUCUGAAUAUUGAUCAUAAUCAGCUAUUUGAGGUUGCUAUUCUUCAGAAAUCGCCAACACUGAAAUAUUUGUUAAGAUAAAAGCAUUGCCACAUGACACCACAGUAUGUAGACUGCCUAUCUUCUGUUAUACCUUAAUGUAUGCCACUACAUGUCAUUAUUGUAUUUGCUCUGCAAUGUUAUUUUUUAUGUACUGCUGCAGAAGUAGCAAAUGUGGUGCCCUUAAGAUUUUGUUGGACUACUAUUCCAUCAUGCUGGCUGAGUCUAAUGCAAGCUGUAGCCCAAUACCAUCUGGGGUGUUUCAUGCUGGCUAAUGCUAGCUAAAGCUGGUCUUUUUGAUCCAGUGAUGAUUUCAGUGUCAACAUUUGUUGCUUUUAUUUCCUCUUUGCAGACAAUCGAUACAACGUUGAUUGGAAUAGGAGAGAUGAACAAAUCUGUCUAUUUCAGUUUUUCUACGUUUCUCAUUUUUUCAGUAUGAAGUUCAAUUUGCUGCGUUUCUACAUUAGUUUGUGAUUGUUUUUCAAUCAUCAGAAAAAAUUGUCUACAUUUUAGUGCCCAUUUCUCUCAAUAUACUCGUGUGUGUGUGCACGUGUGCAUAAAUAUGAUGCAUUUUAAUGUUCUUUUCAUUAAAACAUGCAUUUUUGCACACUUUCUUCUAACAUACAAUUUUGUACACAUCUUUUUGCUUGAAGAAUUGUGUCACAAAAUUCAGAAACGUGCACAUUUUCAAAGAUAGUUGCUUGCAGGCUUCCCACAGGCAUGUGACUGUGAGAACAGGAUGCUGGAAUAAACGGGCCUUUGGCCUGAUCCAACAGGGUUCUUCUUAUGCAGAAUUAAAGAAGGAUAACUCUGUCAUACUGUGUUCAAAGUGGCAAUACUGAAGGACUUAUUCUUCUGUUAAAACAUUUCCCUCUAUCAAUCAAAUGCUCAUCCUGGGCGAUAGGGAUGGGAAAGUAGGCAGCGGGUGAAUUUUAUCUGUGCAAGCCCACUACUACGUGUGAUCCCAAAAAGGCCUGUUGGGACUGCAUGCUUUUCUUGUAAACGGGUUGGUU
This 7638-nucleotide long non-coding RNA is filed under the name Podarcis lilfordi (Lilford's wall lizard). The record is from RNAcentral. Lineage: Eukaryota; Metazoa; Chordata; Lepidosauria; Squamata; Lacertidae.